This is a long non-coding RNA of Nothobranchius furzeri (turquoise killifish), 2121 nucleotides long. The record is from Ensembl. Lineage: Eukaryota; Metazoa; Chordata; Actinopteri; Cyprinodontiformes; Nothobranchiidae.
AUGCCCAAGACCUUGUCCUCUGACCCAGCUGGGAACCAGCAGCAGCAGGUCAUCACCACCCACUGUGAAUCAGAGGGGGGUGUAACCAUUGACGAGUGGACGAGUUCUCCCCCAUCCAGCCUCCAUCUGACCUCACCCACAAUCACAUCAACUCAAGACAACGUCAGCGGGAAGCCUGAUAACUCGGCUGUAACCAAAGAGUCCAGUCGUCAAAAGGAAGAGCGUUUCGAUCCGGUGUUUCCUAAAGUGUCUACGAGCCUGCUGGUUCUGAGUCAUCAGCAGUGUGAUGGAGAGGUGGGACAGGGAGGUGGGACAGAGACACCGUCAGGCCCCCUCUCAGGUAAAAGCCUCCAUGUUCAGAGGGAGAACAUAGCAGCAGAUCCUGGUCCUGCUGUGGACCAGCGUCACAAUUUAUCAGCCUUUAUAUUCAGACCAAAGAGGAUGAAACCCUCCAAUGCCAUCAGCACCGCCUUAAAUACAGAGACCACUGUUAGUCAGGACAGCUGGGGCAAGCAGGAAACACACAAACACCAAAAGAGUUCAGUCAGCAGAGGACAACCAUUAAGGCCCAACUCUGAUGGUUCAGGUCAAAAAGACAAAGAGCUUCCUGAAGUUACUGUAACUGACAAAAAAACUAACUCAGGGUCCAGCACCAUUCCAGGUGAUAUUUGUGCGCUAAGCCAGUCCUUAUACCCUAAAACCUCGUCUUUGAACCCCAACACCUCGUCCUUGAACCCCAACACCUCGUCCUUGAACCCCAACACCUCGUCCUUGAACCCCAACACCUCGUCCUUGAACCCCAACACCUCGUCCUUGAACCCCAACACCUCGUCCUUGAACCCCAACACCUCGUCCUUGAACCCCAACACCUCGUCCUUGAACCCCAACACCUCGUCCUUGAACCCCAACACCUCGUCCUUGAACCCCAACACCUCGUCCUUGAACCCCAACACCUCGUCCUUGAACCCCAACACCUCGUCCUUGAACCCCAACACCUCGUCCUUGAACCCCAACACCUCGUCCUUGAACCCCAACACCUCGUCCUUGAACCCCAACACCUCGUCCUUGAACCCCAACACCUCGUCCUUGAACCCCAACACCUCGUCCUUGAACCCCAACACCUCGUCCUUGAACCCCAACACCUCGUCCUUGAACCCCAACACCUCGUCCUUGAACCCCAACACCUCGUCCUUGAACCCCAACACCUCGUCCUUGAACCCCAACACCUCGUCCUUGAACCCCAACACCUCGUCCUUGAACCCCAACACCUCGUCCUUGAACCCCAACACCUCGUCCUUGAACCCCAACACCUCGUCCUUGAACCCCAACACCUCGUCCUUGAACCCCAACACCUCGUCCUUGAACCCCAACACCUCGUCCUUGAACCCCAACACCUCGUCCUUGAACCCCAACACCUCGUCCUUGAACCCCAACACCUCGUCCUUGAACCCCAACACCUCGUCCUUGAACCCCAACACCUCGUCCUUGAACCCCAACACCUCGUCCUUGAACCCCAACACCUCGUCCUUGAACCCCAACACCUCGUCCUUGAACCCCAACACCUCGUCCUUGAACCCCAACACCUCGUCUUUGAACCCCAACACCUCGUCCUUGAACCCCAACACCUCGUCUUUGAACCCCAACACCUCGUCUUUGAACCCCAACAGCUCACCUUUAAGUCCCCAGACCCCCAGCAGCAGAUCACACCACAUCAAAGCUGCUGUAGCUGCUUCAGCUUUUGCUAAAUUGUCAAGAUUCUCAUUCAGUGGCACAACCAAAUCAACAGCAACAGUUCAAACGGACGAGAAAAGAGGUCCACCUCAAAGAGAAAAUACUGGUUCAGUAGCUAACGAAACAGCAAGUUCCUUCAGAGGAAAGCCGAGUGAAGCUUUGGACCCCGCUGGGAGGGAAAAGGAUGUGCUAGCGCUGUUGCUGCCUACAGCAGGACAACCCUGUACUUCAGUGAGCUCUGUGAACCCCAGGAAGAGAAAGUGUUUUGAUCUGGGGCGUCCACCAACAGGUCCCAAACAUUUUCUCUCCGAGCUGUCCCUGUUUGGUUCUGCUGAGGUCUUCAAUGAUGUCCUCGACACGGACUGGGACCACGAGGUUCUGAAAUCCUGA